CAGUAGCCACGGGAAUACGAAGGGGGCUAGCGUUGUUCGGAAUUACUGGGCGUAAAGCGCACGUAGGCGGAUCGAUCAGUCAGGGGUGAAAUCCCAGGGCUCAACCCUGGAACUGCCUUUGAUACUGUCGAUCUGGAGUAUGGAAGAGGUGAGUGGAAUUCCGAGUGUAGAGGUGAAAUUCGUAGAUAUUCGGAGGAACACCAGUGGCGAAGGCGGCUCACUGGUCCAUUACUGACGCUGAGGUGCGAAAGCGUGGGGAGCAAACAGGAUUAGAUACCCCUGUAGUCCCUGUCUCUUAUAC
RNAcentral lists this ribosomal RNA (301 nucleotides) under uncultured bacterium. RNAcentral describes it as "partial 16S ribosomal RNA". It matches the Rfam family "Bacterial small subunit ribosomal RNA", at positions 509 to 807 of the family's 1533-position model. The record is from RNAcentral.